ACAAAGGCCUGCUUCAGAACUCAGUCUCCACUGCACUGCUGGCCAGACGAGGGAUGUUAUUUUGGGCAGUGCAUCUGGACUUGGUUCAAGUGGCACCAGCCAAAUCCCUGCCUUACUGACCUCUCCCCUGGAGGAGCAGGAGCAGCGCUCAAGGCCGCCUUGGGAGGGCUGAGAGGCAGGCUCUGGACUGGGGACACAGGGAUAGCUGAGCCCCAGCUGGGGGUGGAAGCUGAGCCAGAGACAGUCACAGAGGAACAAGAUCAAGAUGCGCUUUAACUGAGAAGCCCCCAAGGCAGAGGCUGAGAAUCAGAAGACAUUUCAGCAGACAUCUACAAAUCUGAAGGACAAAACAUGGUUCAAGCAUCUGGGCACAGGCGGAGCUGGUACCUUCGCUUAUACAAAUGUACUUACUUAUUACAUUUCAUUGCUGUCAGCUCCACGCAAGCAGGGAUAUUUGCCUGUUGUACACUUGCACGGAGAGAAUGAAUAGUGCCCCUCUGUUGACAUCAUUGCCUCUAGCCUACGUCUCUUUCCAGGGCUUUAGAUCCUGUUUCUAGAGACCCACUGGUGUCUCACAGGCAACUCAGCUCCUAGAUGGAAACAGCCUCCUCCGCCCCCCACAAGUCCACUCCUCCUGUGCUCUUGGCUCAGUCAGGGGUCCCCUUCUCUUCAGUUGCUCAAGCCAGAAGUCAAGGUCAUGUCCUUGAUACUUCCCUCUUCCCCAUGCCUCACAUCCAGUCACCAAUCUCCUAAAAUAUCUAGAAUGUGCACAGCUUCCACCAUUCUUUCUACCACCACCCUACUCCCCCAUGGCCAUGUCAGGCCACCACCCGCCCAUUCUUCAAAACUCCCUUCAGGCCUCACCUCCCAUGCCUCCCCUGAGUUCCCCCAGUCCCAGGCUGCUUCUCUCUGGUGGUGUUGCCAUUACCCAUCUCUUCUAUUAAACAGAGUGACCCAAGAGUGGAGAGUGGGUUUUGACUUUGUAUCCCUGGUGCUUGACUCAUAAGUAGGUGCUCAACAAAAAUUUUUUCUUUUUUUGAGAUGGAGUCUUGUUCUGUUGCCCAUGCUGGAGUGCAG
Long non-coding RNA from Homo sapiens (human), 1077 nucleotides. RefSeq lists it as uncharacterized. The transcript has 3 exons. The record is from RefSeq and is a predicted model, not a curated record. Lineage: Eukaryota; Metazoa; Chordata; Mammalia; Primates; Hominidae.